This 710-nucleotide long non-coding RNA is filed under the name Mytilus galloprovincialis (Mediterranean mussel). Lineage: Eukaryota; Metazoa; Mollusca; Bivalvia; Mytilida; Mytilidae. The record is from RNAcentral.
GUUUGUGUUAUAAUUUUGUUGUUCAUCUCUUAAGGAGUUUACCAGAGACCAGUAUUCUUUUGGGUUUUCGGUUUCCAAAUUGUCCAAGCGAUCUAAGAUAAGUUGUUUGAAUUCUUUUUUCUUUUUUCUCCUUAUUUUGAGUAUUGUUUAUUUGUCUUAAAAAAAGAGCCCCGUACGAUUGGGACUUUUGGAAAUUUUUGACAUUAAAUUGCCAUUUUCUGUGACAAUUUUUUUAAGUUGUUCCAGAUCAUGAUCAAACUAUUUUUUAUAUAUUUUCUGUUAAUUUUUUUUUCUUUCUUUCUCAAGGAUGCUUUACAUACUUUAUCAAAAAUUGUGUGGACUUUACUGGUGUAUAAAUCAAUGUUUUCUGGGGUAAGCUCCAUCUUUUCAUUCAUAAAACUUUUAAUUUCAUUUUGAAUAGCAGGAUUACAAAAUGUUUCUUGAAAUUUAAUAAUACUUUCAUGGUCCCAUAUAUAUCUUGUUGGAAAAUCAAUUGACCCUUUUUGCUUGCGUUCUAUUUCAAAGUUGGCUAAGAUUUUUAAAGAUAUUUUACAAUGGCAGUCUGAUAAACAUGGAAUGAAUUCAUUUACAUUCAUAUAUAAUAAUUGUGACAACAAUGAUUGUGAGACUAUAAUAUAAUCGACUACACUACAUCCAUUUGGUUUAAAACAUGUAUAAGUACCAUUAACAUUACCACAACAUCUACCAUU